This 593-nucleotide long non-coding RNA is filed under the name Homo sapiens (human). Its description in RNAcentral is "non-protein coding lnc-HECW2-1:1". The record is from RNAcentral. Lineage: Eukaryota; Metazoa; Chordata; Mammalia; Primates; Hominidae.
GGCGGCAGGCUCCACUGUGCUCGCGAGCGGGGCACGCCGGGAUAUGUAGUUUCCGGCGCCUGCCCUCCGGGGGGUCCUGUGCUGCCCACUUCACAGUGACUUGUCUCCGCCUGGUGAACUCGCGGUGUUCUGCUAAUCUUGCGGAGCCUCAAUGUGAGAUGCAGAGACUGCCCAUCAAACCACAGCCAUAUUCAUCAAGCUUUGAGCCGAUCCGGUGAAGAGAAAUGAGCACUGCAUACAUUAUUCAGAGAAAGGGACCAAAUAAAGCUUUUAAUAGGAAAUGAAAAUGUAUUUUAAAGCGUCAGUGCAAACAGCCAAUUAUUUUCAUUAUGUAUGUUUUAUCUUGCAAUGACCUCUGGUUUAUCAGUGGAAUUAAGAGAUGAGUGAUACAUGUAUCCACGUGUUUUUGUGUAAUGAGAGUUUUCACCUUCUCCUCAAAUCUCCAUAUUAAGCAGCAGUCAGGGAACCAAACUGAUUAAAUUCGUGUUUUUCAUUUGUUUUCCCUUAUUCACUGUCUGGCAAACCGUAUAAGAACUUAAGCAAUUACAGAGUUAGAGAAAAGGACCUGAAGUCUUCAAUAAACUUGAAAUCAG